AUUGAACGCUGGCGGCAGGCCUAACACAUGCCAGUCGAGCGGAUGAAGGGGGCUUGCUCCUGGAUUCAGCGGCGGACGGGUGAGUAAUGCCUAGGAAUCUGCCUGGUAGUGGGGGAUAACGUCCGGAAACGGGCGCUAAUACCGCAUACGUCCUGAGGGAGAAAGUGGGGGAUCUUCGGACCCCACGCUAUCAGAUGAGCCUAGGUCGGAUUAGCUAGUUGGUGGGGUAAAGGCCUACCAAGGCGACGAUCCGUAACUGGUCUGAGAGGAUGAUCAGUCACACUGGAACUGAGACACGGUCCAGACUCCUACGGGAGGCAGCAGUGGGGAAUAUUGGACAAUGGGCGAAAGCCUGAUUCAGCCAUGCCGCGUGUGUGAAGAAGGUCUUCGGAUUGUAAAGCACUUUAAGUUGGGAGGAAGGGCAGUAAGUUAAUACCUUGCUGUUUUGACGUUACCAACAGAAUAAGCACCGGCUAACUUCGUG
RNAcentral lists this ribosomal RNA (484 nucleotides) under uncultured bacterium. RNAcentral's name for it is "partial 16S ribosomal RNA". It matches the Rfam family "Bacterial small subunit ribosomal RNA", at positions 30 to 507 of the family's 1533-position model. The record is from RNAcentral.